Molecule: ribosomal RNA, 468 nt
Filed under: uncultured bacterium
Lineage: Bacteria
Description: partial 16S ribosomal RNA
Rfam family: Bacterial small subunit ribosomal RNA
Source: RNAcentral
GACGAACGCUGGCGGCGUGCUUAACACAUGCAAGUCGAACGGAAAGGCCCUGCUUUUGUGGGGUGCUCGAGUGGCGAACGGGUGAGUAACACGUGAGUAACCUGCCCUUGACUUUGGGAUAACUUCAGGAAACUGGGGCUAAUACCGGAUAGGAGCUCCUGCUGCAUGGUGGGGGUUGGAAAGUUUCGGCGGUUGGGGAUGGACUCGCGGCUUAUCAGCUUGUUGGUGGGGUAGUGGCUUACCAAGGCUUUGACGGGAAGCCGGCCUGAGAGGGUGACCGGCCACAUUGGGACUGAGAUACGGCCCAGACUCCUACGGGAGGCAGCAGUGGGGAAUAUUGCACAAUGGGCGGAAGCCUGAUGCAGCAACGCCGCGUGCGGGAUGACGGCCUUCGGGUUGUAAACCGCUUUCGCCUGUGACGAAGCGUGAGUGACGGAAAUGGGUAAAGAAGCACCGGCUAACUACGUG